UACGGGGGGAGCAAGCGUUGUUCGGAAUUACUGGGCGUAAAGGGCGCGUAGGCGGUUUGGUCAGUGAGAUGUGAAAGCCUCCGGCUCACCCGGAGAAAUGCAUCUCAUACUGCCAAGCUAGAGUGCAGCAGAGGAAACGGGAAUUCCAGGUGUAGCGGUGAAAUGCGUAGAUAUCUGGAGGAACACCGGUGGCGAAGGCGCGUUUCUGGGCUGCUACUGACGCUGAUGCGCGAAAGCUGGGGGAGCAAACGGG
This 253-nucleotide ribosomal RNA is filed under the name uncultured bacterium. Its description in RNAcentral is "partial 16S ribosomal RNA". It matches the Rfam family "Bacterial small subunit ribosomal RNA", at positions 524 to 776 of the family's 1533-position model. The record is from RNAcentral.